This 468-nucleotide ribosomal RNA is filed under the name uncultured bacterium. RNAcentral's name for it is "partial 16S ribosomal RNA". It matches the Rfam family "Bacterial small subunit ribosomal RNA", at positions 28 to 507 of the family's 1533-position model. The record is from RNAcentral.
GACGAACGCUGGCGGCGUGCUUAACACAUGCAAGUCGAACGGAAAGGCCCUGCUUUUGUGGGGUGCUCGAGUGGCGAACGGGUGAGUAACACGUGAGUAACCUGCCCUUGACUUUGGGAUAACUUCAGGAAACUGGGGCUAAUACCGGAUAGGAGCUCCUGCUGCAUGGUGGGGGUUGGAAAGUUUCGGCGGUUGGGGAUGGACUCGCGGCUUAUCAGCUUGUUGGUGGGGUAGUGGCUUACCAAGGCUUUGACGGGUAGCCGGCCUGAGAGGGUGACCGGCCACAUUGGGACUGAGAUACGGCCCAGACUCCUACGGGAGGCAGCAGUGCGGAAUAUUGCACAAUGGGCGGAAGCCUGAUGCAGCAACGCCGCGUGCGGGAUGACGGCCUUCGGGUUGUAAACCGCUUUCGCCUGUGACGAAGCGUGAGUGACGGUAAUGGGUAAAGAAGCAUCGGCUAACUACGUG